UUAUCCGGAUUUAUUGGGUUUAAAGGGAGCGUAGAUGGAUGUUUAAGUCAGUUGUGAAAGUUUGCGGCUCAACCGUAAAAUUGCAGUUGAUACUGGAUGUCUUGAGUGCAGUUGAGGCAGGCGGAAUUCGUGGUGUAGCGGUGAAAUGCUUAGAUAUCACGAAGAACUCCGAUUGCGAAGGCAGCCUGCUAAGCUGCAACUGACAUUGAGGCUCGGAAGUGUGGGCAUCAAACAGGAUUAGAUACCCUGGUAGUCCACACGGUAAACGAUGAAUACUCGCUGUUUGCGAUAUACGGCAAGCGGCCAAGCGAAAGCGUUAAGUAUUCCACCUGGGGAGUACGCCGGCAACGGUGAAACUCAAAGGAAUUGACGGGGGCCCGCACAAGCGGAGGAACAUGUGGUUUAAUUCGAUGAUACGCGAGGAA
RNAcentral lists this ribosomal RNA (425 nucleotides) under uncultured bacterium. RNAcentral describes it as "bacterial SSU rRNA". It matches the Rfam family "Bacterial small subunit ribosomal RNA", at positions 541 to 968 of the family's 1533-position model. The record is from RNAcentral.